CCUACGGGAGGCAGCAGUAGGGAAUCUUGGACAAUGGGCGAAAGCCUGAUCCAGCGACGCCGCGUGGGUGAAGAAGCCCUUCGGGGUGUAAAGCCCUUUUCCGGGAGAAGAAAAAAGACGGUACCCCGGGAAUAAGCCCCGACUAACUACGUGCCAGCAGUCGCGGUAUUACGUAGGGGGCGAGCGUUGUCCGGAAUUACUGGGCGUAAAGAGCGCGUGGGCGGGGAGGAAAGUUCUGUGUGAAACCCCUGAGCACAACUGGGGGGGGCCGCAGAAGACUUCCCCCCUUGAGGGAAGCAGAGGAAAGCGGAACUUGCGGUGGAGGGGUAAAAUGCGUAGAGAUCGCAAGGAGCGCCGGUGGCGAAGGCGGCUUUCGGGACUUCCCCUGACGCUGAGGCGCAAAAGCUAGGGUAGCGAACGGGUUUAGAUCCCCUGGUAGU
This 440-nucleotide ribosomal RNA is filed under the name uncultured bacterium. Its description in RNAcentral is "partial 16S ribosomal RNA". It matches the Rfam family "Bacterial small subunit ribosomal RNA", at positions 338 to 794 of the family's 1533-position model. The record is from RNAcentral.